This is a long non-coding RNA of Sinocyclocheilus rhinocerous, 188 nucleotides long. RefSeq lists it as uncharacterized. The transcript has 3 exons. The record is from RefSeq and is a predicted model, not a curated record. NCBI's taxonomy places the organism in Eukaryota, Metazoa, Chordata, Actinopteri, Cypriniformes, Cyprinidae.
GUGCAUGAGAUACAUUGCAACUAUUGCAGAUAAGGAACUGCUGAAGAAGUGUCAUCAGUGCAUGGAGACCAUUGUCAAAGCCAAAGAUCAGCAGGCAGCUGAGGCAAACAAGAACGCCAGCAUUCUACUUAAGGAACUUGAUCUGGAGAAGUCUCGUGAAGAAAGCAAAAAGCAGGCUCUGGCUGCAA